AUGGUCAAGCUACAAAGAGCGCAAGGGGAAUGCCUUGGCACUGGGAGCCGAAGAAGGACGCGGCAAACUGCGAAAAGCUAUGGGGAGUCGUAAGCAGGCUUUGAUCCAUAGGUGUCCGAAUGGAGCAAUCCGGCCGGAGUUAUGUCCGGUCACCGUAAAGUGAAUUCAUAGCUUUACGGGGGGAACCGCCUGAACUGAAACAUCUAAGUAGGGCGAGGAAGAGAAAUCAAUUGAGAUUCCGCAAGUAGUGGCGAGCGAACGCGGAAGAGGCCAAACCGGAGGCAGCAAUGCCUUCGGGGUGUGGACAGCCAAAGAGUCUGCGAUCCCGAGCAGAACGGCAUGGAAAGGCCGACGAGACAGUGUGAAAGUCACGUAUGCGAAGGGAAAGCGGAGCGGGCUGUAUCCCGAGUACUGCCGGACACGAGAAAUCCGGUGGGAACGUGGGGGGACCACCCUCCAAGCCUAAAUACUACCCAGUGACCGAUAGUGAAGAGUACUGUGAAGGAAAGGUGAAAAGGACCCCGGAAGGGGAGUGAAAAAGAACCUGAAACCUUGUGCUUACAAGCACCGAGAGCCCGUCAACGGGUGAUCGGGUACCUUUUGUAGAAUGGUCCGGCGAGUGAAUGUAACUGGCAAGGUUAAGUCCUUAAGGGACGGAGCCGCAGGGAAACCAAGUCUGAACAGGGCGCAUGAAGUCAGUUGUAUUCGACCCGAAACCGGGUGACCUACCCAUGUCCAGGUUGAAGUGGGGGUAAAACCCCAUGGAGGACCGAACCGACUCCCGUUGAAAUGGUAGCGGAUGAGGUGUGGGUAGCGGAGAAAUUCCAAUCGAACCCGGAGAUAGCUGGUUCUCUCCGAAAUAGCUUUAGGGCUAGCCUCGUAUCAGAUUACCGGAGGUAAAGCACUGAAUGGUCUAGGGGCCGAAAGGCUACCGAAGCCUAUCAAACUCAGAAUGCCGGAUAAUCGAUAUACGGGAGUCAGACGGUGUGAGAUAAGUUUCAUCGUCAAAAGGGAAACAGCCCAGACCCACAGCUAAGGUCCCCAAACACGGUUAAGUGGCAAAGGAUGUGGGGUUGCACAGACAACCAGGAUGUUGGCUCAGAAGCAGCCAUUCAUUAAAAGAGUGCGUAAUAGCUCACUGGUCGAGUGACCCUGCGCCGAAAAUUCAACGGGGCUAAAAUCGUGUACCGAAGCUUGGGAUGCUCAGUCAUUCUCCAUAACCUCAAUUAGCGAAAGUGAAGAAGGAAUCUGGCGGCGCGCAGCGACGCGAAAUUACUUAAAAGCUGAAAAGGAUUGAGAGCGUGGAGAAUGGCUGAGCAUGGUAGGAGAGCGUUGAAUGAGAGUUGAAGUCGGAGCGGAAGCGCCGGUGGAUUUCAUUCAAGAGAGAAUGCCGGAAUGAGUAGCGAGAAAUAUGUGAGAAUCAUAUUGGCCGAAAGUCUAAGGUUUCUGGAGGAAGGUUCGUCCGCUCCAGGUGAGCCGGGAGCUAAGGUGAGGCCGAAAGGCGUAGCCGAUGCACAUACGGUUGACAUUCCGUAGCCGCAGAAGGAUUUAAGUAAGAUGACACCUGCAAAGGGCAUGACCCGGGCGUUGGUUGACCCGGGCGCAAGGGACCGAAAUUUAGUAGGGAAGCAUGCUUAGAGCAGGGCGAGAAAAGUCUUAUGGGAUAUCCGAUGCGCCCGUACCGCAAACCGACACAGGUAGACAGGAAGAAGAUUCCAAGGCCAACGGGAGAAGGGUAGUUAAGGAACUCGGCAAAUUGACCCCGUAACUUAGGGAUAAGGGGUGCCUCAGAGAUGAGGCCGCAGAGAAUAGGCCCAGGCGACUGUUUAGCAAAAACACAGGUCUCUGCCAAAUCGAAAGAUGACGUAUAGGGGCUGACACCUGCCCGGUGCUGGAAGGUUAAGAGGAGAUGUGCAAGCAUUGAAUUGAAGCCCCAGUAAACGGCGGCCGUAACUAUAACGGUCCUAAGGUAGCGAAAUUCCUUGUCGGGUAAGUUCCGACCCGCACGAAAGGUGUAACGAUCUGGGCACUGUCUCAAUUACCCGCCCGGCGAAAUUGUAGUACCGGUGAAGAUGCCGGUUACCCGCGACAAGACGGAAAGACCCCAUGGAGCUUUACUGCAGUUUAAUAUUGGGUUUCGGUAAUUUAUGUACAGGAUAGGUGGGAGACUUUGAAACUCUGGCGCCAGCUGGAGCGGAGUCGUCCUUGGGAUACCACCCUUAAGUUGCUGAAAUUCUAACCUGCGGCCGUGAAUCCGGCCGGGGGACAUUGUUAGACGGGCAGUUUGACUGGGGCGGUCGCCUCCAAAAGCGUAACGGAGGCGCUCAAAGGUUGGCUCGGCACGGACGGAAACCGUGCGGGAGAGUGUAAACGCAUAAGCCAGCCUGACUGCGAGGAUGACGGUCCGAGCAGAAACGAAAGUUGGAGUUAGUGAUCCGGCGGUAUGAGAGUGGAAUUGCCGUCGCUCAACGGAUAAAAGCUACCCUGGGGAUAACAGGCUGAUCUCCCCCAAGAGUCCACAUCGACGGGGAGGUUUGGCACCUCGAUGUCGGCUCAUCACAUCCUGGGGCUGUAUUCGGUCCCAAGGGUUCGGCUGUUCGCCGAUUAAAGUGGUACGCGAGCUGGGUUCAGAACGUCGUGAGACAGUUCGGUCCCUAUCUGUCGUGGGCGCAGGAUAUUUGAGGAGAGCUGUCCUUAGUACGAGAGGACCGGGAUGGACGCACCUCUGGCGCACCAGUUGUCAUGCCAAUGGCACAGCUGGGCAACUAUGUGCGGAUCGGAUAAACGCUGAAAGCAUCUAAGCGUGAAGCCGACUCCAAGAUUAGAUAUCCCACAGCAUAAGCUGGUAAGGCCCCUUGUAGACUACAAGGUUGAUAGGCUGCGUGUGUAAGCACGGUAACGUGUUCAGCUUGGCAGUACUAAUAGGCCGAGGGCUUGACCAUAUUU
This 2946-nucleotide ribosomal RNA is filed under the name Caproiciproducens sp. NJN-50. RNAcentral's name for it is "23S ribosomal RNA". It matches the Rfam family "Bacterial large subunit ribosomal RNA". Lineage: Bacteria; Bacillati; Bacillota; Clostridia; Eubacteriales; Acutalibacteraceae. The record is from RNAcentral.